AUUGAACGCUGGCGGAAUGCUUUACACAUGCAAGUCGAACGGCAGCACGGGUGCUUGCACCUGGUGGCGAGUGGCGAACGGGUGAGUAAUACAUCGGAACGUACCCAGUUGUGGGGGAUAACGAGUCGAAAGAUUCGCUAAUACCGCAUACGACCUGAGGGUGAAAGCGGGGGACCGUAAGGCCUCGCGCAAUUGGAGCGGCCGAUGUCUGAUUAGCUAGUUGGUGAGGUAAAGGCUCACCAAGGCGACGAUCAGUAGCUGGUCUGAGAGGAUGAUCAGCCACACUGGAACUGAGACACGGCCCAGACUCCUACGGGAGGCAGCAGUGGGGAAUUUUGGACAAUGGGGGAAACCCUGAUCCAGCCAUUCCGCGUGAGUGAAGAAGGCCUUCGGGUUGUAAAGCUCCUUCGGCAGGGAAGAAACGCUCUGGCUUAAUACGCCGGGGUAAUGACGGUACCUGAAGAAGAAGCACCGGCUAACUACGUGCCAGCCGCCGCAGUAA
Molecule: ribosomal RNA, 502 nt
Filed under: uncultured bacterium
Lineage: Bacteria
Description: partial 16S ribosomal RNA
Rfam family: Bacterial small subunit ribosomal RNA
Source: RNAcentral